RNA transcript from Antechinus flavipes (yellow-footed antechinus), 4532 nucleotides. It is a transcript of the gene named PRELI domain containing 3A, with no coding region annotated. The record is from RefSeq and is a predicted model, not a curated record. The transcript has 7 exons. Lineage: Eukaryota; Metazoa; Chordata; Mammalia; Dasyuromorphia; Dasyuridae.
AAGAGGGAGGGGUGUCUGUCAGAGUCACGUGAGAGGGGGAAAAAAAGGAAGAGAGUGCACUUGGAAUCCCGAACUCGCUGUGCCCCAGGGCUGGAAACUGCUGGAUCCAGAACCAGAGAAGGAUGCCUCCCUUGGGCCGCACAAAUACCCAGGGACGCUCAGAAACGGUGCGCAUGACGCAGAUGCCAUGACUGCCCCUUGGGCCCUCGGAUCUGAGUGAGUGACAAGUGUUCCAGGCCCGGUGCGGGAGAGUAGUGUGCUGGAGAGUAGGGCAGCCUUGCACAGUUCGGCGGGUUCUAGUCGGAGAGGUAUCUCUCCGGGCUCCGAAGCUGCUGCCCUGCACAGAGACUAAAGAGCGCCUCUGGUCCCUGAAGCUGCCGCGGGGGAAAGAUGAAGAUCUGGAGCUCCGAGCACGUGUUUGGCCAUCCAUGGGACACUGUCAUCAAAGCUGCUAUGAGAAAAUAUCCAAAUCCUAUGAACCCUUGUGUAGUAGGAGUGGAUGUGUUAGACAGGAACCUUGAUAACCAGGGCAGGUUACAUAGCCAUCGUCUUCUCAGCACUGAGUGGGGACUUCCAACUCUUGUGAAAGCGGUCUUGGGAACCAAUAGGACUUUGACAUAUAUUCAGGAGCAUUCUGUUGUAGAUCCAGUGGGGAAAAAAAUGGAGCUGUGUUCUACUAAUAUCACACUCACAAAUUUGGUGUUGGUGAAUGAGAGGUUGGUGUACACACCUCAUCCUGACAAUCCUGAAAUGACGGUGCUGACACAUGAAGCAGUCAUCACUGUGAAGGGAUUUAGCUUAGGCAGCUACUUGGAAAGCUUAAUGGCAAACACCAUAUCAUCCAAUGCACGGAAGGGGUGGGCUGCUAUUGAGUGGAUAAUUCAAAAUUCUGAAAGUGCUGUAAGCUAACUGCAUCCACACCUACCAUUUGGGAUAAAUAGUGGUAACUACAGCAUUAUUGACCCUGGGUCGAGAUGCCUUGGAAUGGGUGAUCAGCAGACUUAAUACAGAAUUUGAGGAACUAGCAGCAGCACCUUGACAAAGCAUGCAACAAAGCAAAAACGGCAACAGCCUCAAGAUGUCAAGACAAUGAAGACGUGCAGAAAUCUACUUAGGCAAGGGUGUAUUUUUCCCUACUUAGUGCCAUCUUGGACUGAUAUGCAAUUUGGGGCUCUGCUUGGUUCAUCAGACCUUCAGUUAUUAAUAGACACCUAGAAAAUAAUUAUGAGUUGAAUUAGGAAAUUAAUCAUAAAGGAAGCUGUGAAUUAACCAUAUGAAUGAAUAUAGUGGAGACUGCAAGGAGGGUCAUUUUAUUUUCUGAGAAAAGGUAACUUUUUUUCACCAAAUGAGUAAAUAUAAAUCUUUAACUUCCUCUCCCCACCUUCACCCCCCGCCCAGGGUAGAAAUAAUAUUAAAUUGGAAUUAAGAUUUCAAAAAUUGUGACCAAAAAAGACAUAUUCUCUGUGAAUCCCCAAAUUAGAAUUUCCUCACAUUGUAAAACAAUACUUCCUUAAAGUCUCUGCUUAAAUCUUUGAAGUUCACUGCAAUAAUAGACUGAAAUAUUUCCUUUGAUCAAAGGAGAAAAAAAUUAUUUUCUUGGAUGAGAACAGGGGUUUUUAACUUUAUUGCUCACAGAUUUUUUUGGCAGUCUGUUGAAGCUUAUAGAGCCCUUCUCAGAAAAAUGUUUUUAAUGCAUCAAAUAAAAUAUUUAAGAUUACAAAGGAAACCAAUUAUUUUGAAAUACAUUUUUAAAAAAACAACUUUUUAAAAAGUUUUCCAAUUAAGAAUACUUGGAGCAUUGACAAAGCACAACUGAAUAUUGCUGCAGAUGGGGUAUAUUAUUGUAAGGUCUUGGCACUCCUCAGAAAGCACAUAUCUACCUGUCAGUAUUUACUGUCCUUCCAUAUCCUGCAUCCAUGUUACACAUACAACAAAUUUAGAGGGAAUUUGAGAAACAGAAUUAUAUAAUUAAUAACUUGAAUAACAAAUCCUUAUUUUAAACUAAUAUUUGGAAAUGGUAAUGGGGAUAUAUCUUCCUAAUCUAUGUUUAUUGUUAACUAAUAAAAUCAACUAAAUUGUUUGAGGUACUUUAAGGAGAAAUAACUAUUUUGCUAGGAUAUUCUUUGCUUUAGGUAUAUGAUGUAUUUUCUCUUUGUCUUCAUCAGUUUUUCUGUCUCUGUUUCUAUUUGCCUCUGCUCGUUUGUCUGUCUUUCUUAAAAAAAAAAAAAAAAAAAGACCAAGUUUCCCCAUCUGUCUCACUGGAAUUUCAGGAGUUCUCAAGGGCCACUGCAGAUUGGCCUGGGAACUUUGAUCUGCUCUUUUUCCAAUCUGGGUCAUGUUGCCUUUCUUUUUGUUGUUGUUUGGUUGUUUCAGCUGUGUCUGAGUCUUUGAAAUCCUAUUUGGAGUUUUCUUGGUAAAAAUACUGGAAUGGUUUUCCAUUUCCUUCUCCAACUCAUUUUACAGAUGAGAAAACCGAGGCAAACUGGGUUAGGUGACGUGUCCAGGGUCACGUUGCUAGGAAAUGUCUGAGGCCAGAUUUGGGCUCACGGUUUUCCUGAUUUCAGAGUUAGUGCUCUAUCUGCUGUGCCGCAUGGCUUCUUUCAAGGCAACCUAAUAACUCCAUGUUUUUGAAGGCUUAUCAUAUCAAUAACAAAUUUAGGGUAGAUACUCAGCAGACAUGGUCUGCUGCCAGCUUCAGCCUUCCUGUUGGCUGGGAUCACAGGCAUGUGUCACCAUGUUUGGUGCCAUGUGUAUUUUUUUCCACAACACAUAUCUGCCUGAGGUGCAUAGGGUUCCCUCUCCCCCAAGUCUCCCCCCUCCCAACAUAGAACACAGAAAUAUGUUUCAAAAACACAGAAGUGGGGCAGCUAGGUGGUGCGGUGGAUAGAGCACCAGCCCUGAAGUCAGGAGGACCUGAGUUCAAAUCUGAUCUCAGACACUUAACACUUCCUGGCUGUCUCACCCUGGGCAAGUCACUUAACCCCAAUUGCCUCAGCAAAAACAAACCAAAACAACAUAGAAGUGAUUUUGCUGGACCUGGUCAGGUGGAUGAAGGGUUUUAAUCCUGUCAUAGAUGAUUAUUACCUCUGAUCCUGCCUUAUUUGUAAGAUGAUAAUAAUGAUAGCAUCUACCUCAUUGCCUGUUGCAAGGAUUACAUGAGAUUUCCCGUGUGUGUGUGUGUGUGUGUGUGUGUGUAUGUAUACAUAUAAUACCUGUGUAUAUGUGUGUGUGUGUUUUGUAAGCCUUAAAGUAUUAUGUAUGUAUACUAAUACUAUAUUGUUAUCAUUAUUCCAUCUAUUACACCUAAUUUUGCUGUCUAGGACCAAACAGAACAAAUCUAAUUCUUUUUCUUCAUGACAGUCCUUGAAACACAUGGAGAAACAGUCAUGGCUUCAUUUAAGUCUUCCUGUCCCUAGGAUAACAAUCCCAGAUCUAUCAAGCAAACCCUCUCAUGGCAUGUGUGAAUGAGUAUGUGUACAUACACACAUAUUUGUGCUCUUCCAUAUGAUCAAAGUUUAUCAAAGUCAUUUUGAAAAUGUACAGUCUCAAAUGUAACAGUAUUCCAGAUGUGUUUGGGCCAGAGCCAUUAUAUUCCUAGUCCUGGUACCUGUGUCUUUUUUCUUUAUUUUUUUGGCAUGAAUGGAAGAAGACUUUAUCACAUUUCUUGGAAGAAGCGGACUCUUUACUCAGGGGGCACAAAUGCAAUUUACAGAAUCCAGAACCAGCAGUUAUAUUCCAUAAUCACAUCCUGCCUCCUCAUCUCCUCAGAAUUUCAAUUUAAGGGAAUCUUUCCAAAAUCUAAUAUUGCAUGACACUUCUCUUACAUAUCAAGAAGAAAAUGUUUCCAUGUUCCCCCUCUCCUUGACAUAUUAUCAUAUAUUCAAAAAUGCUGGGUGUCUCCUUCUUAAAGGAGAAGAAGCUAAUAUGCAUGAGGCUUAUUUAUUUAGCAUGCUCAGUUGAAAAUUUUGCUUGCCCAGGUUAUAAAUCCAGAUCAUUUGACUUGUGCCUUUUUUAAUGUGACAUAUGAUUACAUUAACUUUCUUGGCUACCACAUCACACUGUUGAUACAUUUUGACUUUGUAGUCUGCUAAAAACUCUAGAUCUUUUUCUGAUAAAUUUUUAUCUUACUCAUAAUUCCCCUUUCUUAUACUUGUGAAUUUAGCUUUCUUUCUCUUUCUUUCUUCCUUCCUUCUUUCCAUUCCCUUCUUCCUUCUUUCCUUUCUCCUUCCUCCCUCCUUUCUUCUUUUCUCUCUCUCUCCCCUUCCUUUCUCCCUCCCUCCUUCCUUUUUUUUCCUUUCUUUCCCUAUGUACAAGUCUAUACCUUUGUCUUUAUUGAUUUUAUCUUUUUAGAUUAAGAGAUUCAGCCCAAAGUUUCAAACUGCCAAGAUUUUGGGGGAUCCUAAAUCUCUAAUUCAAUGUGUUAUCCUUCUCGGGUUUUUGUUACCUUAAAAUUUCAUAAGGUUUCCAUUUAUGCCUGUAUGUCAAUCAGUGAUAAAAAUGCAAAUCCAUAAUAAAAAAAAAAUCCACUCACA